AUUCACUGAUCAGGACAGAACGCAGACAACUCACCAUGGAGUUUAGGCUGACCUGGGUUUUCCUUGUUGCUGUUUUAAAAGGUGUCCAGUCUGAGGUGCAGCUGGUGGAGUCUGGGGCAGACCAGGUGAAGCCUGGGGAUCCCUGAGACUCUCCUGUGCAGCCCUGGAUUCACUUUCAGCAGCUACUACAUGCACUGAGUCUGCCAGGCUCCGGGCAGGAGGCUGUAGUGGGUCGCAUGGAUUAGGUAUGAUGGAAGUAGCACAAGCUAUGCAGACUCUAUGAAGGGUCGAUUCACCAUCUCCAGAGACAACGGCAAGAACACGCUGUAUCUGAACAGCCUGAGAGCCGAGAAAACGGCCGUGUAUUACUGUGCGAAGGACACAGUGAGGGGACGUCAAUGUGAGCCCAGACAAAAACCUCACUGUAGAAGGGGAUCUGGACCACCAGAGAGUACACAAUACUCAGCCAUUCUGUCUUUCAGCCCCUGGUGCAGCUUUAUGCACUUUGCAUCACAGAACCACCCAGCUCAACAAUGCAAGCUUGUUAGAAGCAGCAUAAAGUGCAUGCUGGACAUGAGGCUACAGAGCCAUCAACAAUCCAAAGCAAAAGAAGAAGGAUCCAUGGUGGCAGUCACUGUCUUGAACCAUGCACACAGCCAUGUUAGUGACAGCAUGAGAAAGCAGUGA
Odobenus rosmarus divergens (Pacific walrus) is the source of this 687-nucleotide non-coding RNA. Lineage: Eukaryota; Metazoa; Chordata; Mammalia; Carnivora; Odobenidae. The record is from the annotation of a RefSeq genome assembly.